AAGCAACACCCUGGCAGAUGAUCAAAACUGUCUGACGCAAUUUGAGCUUGCCAUAGCAACGAAGUCUAACCUAUCCCCGUGCACUCUCCUCUACGAGACAAGGCCUUACAUAGACACAGACAGU
Myotis lucifugus (little brown bat) is the source of this 124-nucleotide small nucleolar RNA. Ensembl annotates it as small nucleolar RNA SNORA28. The record is from Ensembl. Lineage: Eukaryota; Metazoa; Chordata; Mammalia; Chiroptera; Vespertilionidae.